UGGAGCGAAUCUCCAAAAAUUAGUCCCAGUUCAGAUUGCAGGCUGCAACUCGCCUGCAUGAAGUCGGAAUUGCUAGUAAUCGUGGAUCAGCAUGCCACGGUGAAUACGUUCCCGGGCCUUGUACACACCGCCCGUCACACCAUGGGAGUCGGUAACACCCGAAGCCUGUAGUCUAACCGCAAGGAGGACGCAGUCGAAGGUGGGAUUGAUGACUGGGGUGAAGUCGUAACAAGGUAAC
This 238-nucleotide ribosomal RNA is filed under the name uncultured bacterium. RNAcentral describes it as "partial 16S ribosomal RNA". It matches the Rfam family "Bacterial small subunit ribosomal RNA", at positions 1263 to 1500 of the family's 1533-position model. The record is from RNAcentral.